Long non-coding RNA from Pecten maximus, 1293 nucleotides. RefSeq lists it as uncharacterized. NCBI's taxonomy places the organism in Eukaryota, Metazoa, Mollusca, Bivalvia, Pectinida, Pectinidae. The transcript is spliced from 7 exons. The record is from RefSeq and is a predicted model, not a curated record.
CUCUUAUCACAAUGAUGAGGUACCUGAAUGAAAGUGAUAUAUAUCAACCAGUCGAAACAAGUGACAUCAGAAUCGCAGAAGAUUUCAGUUUGGUGCUCAGCCUUGACAUCAGCAGCAACCCCAAAUCUAAUGUAAUUUUGUUGAAUAACCAGAAAACAGUUGCGAUAGGGUACAGUUUCUAACACUGCUGGAAAAUACAAUGUUGAAUCAAAGAAUCUUCAGUGUAACCACACAGGAAGGUAUGGCGUCAGGGCGACCAACUUCGUCACUCAAAAUAGAAGCAAUGUCAACCCCGAGAUGAAGCAGUUUGGACUUCAAGUUAGUUGUACCCCACGAAGACUUGGGUCUGCCAAUAAUGUAAUUGGAUUGGCAGGGAGAAAGGAUCAGACCAUCCCAUUCAAUAUCACAGUGAUAGCCAACCCAGUGCCAACUGGCCAAUGGUCCAAUGGUGUGAGGACCCUUCCUGUUCUUCCAAACAACAACUAUACGUAUACUGUCAGGGGAAAUGUCCAGGUCAGGUCUGUGAACGACUACCGAAAAUAUCAUGUUAACAUUACUAACGGUUUACAAGGGACAUUGACAGUCACAUUCCAGAUUCGCCCUGAAGAUGUACCAGAUAGACCGAUCAACUUUAGUACAUCAGAUGUGGGAUCUGAUAAUGUCAGGGUCAUGUGGACACCAGGAUUUGACGGUGGGAAUCCACAGCAAUUCCAUGUUGACAUUAUGGCAGUCGGCGAAGAAUGGGUUACCGACACAUUGAAUAUCUCUGAUGAAGGUCAGGGAGUACCGAUGACACACACACUUGAGGGACUCGCCCCUUCCACUGACUACAUCAUCAGACUCAAUGUCUCUAACAAAAUCGGAAAGGGAAAUUCCUCGGAGAUAAGUGUCCGGACUUUAGCGCUCCCGCCGCCAGCCGCCCCCCCCCCCAGUCCAACUUGACUGUCAUCAUAGUGGUGAUUUUUAUAAUCCUUCUUGCGGUUGUCGCCGGGAUCUUCGGUCUCCUGGUGUUUAAGCAGAAACGGAAUCAACAAGGUGGCGCUAAAAAACUAGGUGGUGGUACAAAACAUGAAUUUGCAACCACAAAACAACGAAUACGCUGUGGUAUCAAAACCACCCAAAGGUGGUGCUUCAAGAAAUGAAGUAUAAACAACAGAUGCCAAUGCUGAGUAUGCAGUCGUAAUCAAAACCAUCAAAAGGCAAAGGUGGCGCUGCAAAAAAUAACAUCGUGAGCACAGACAACGAUAACAAUGAGUACGCUGUUGUAUCAAAACCGCCCAAAGGUAAAGUUAC